Oryza sativa Japonica Group (Japanese rice) is the source of this 3221-nucleotide non-coding RNA. Lineage: Eukaryota; Viridiplantae; Streptophyta; Magnoliopsida; Poales; Poaceae. The record is from RefSeq and is a predicted model, not a curated record.
CUCAUCGAGGCCGGCGUUGUCUAAGUUUUAACUACCCUAGCUAGCCUCACCAAUUGCAAUUGUGUACACUAGCUAGUUGCAUCAAUCAAUCUCACUGCUAGUGGCGUGCGUGCGUGUGUGUCUAGUUAGGGCUACUUCUACUGCUGCUUCUCCUCAACCUCUUCUUCUUCUUCCUCUAGUUGCUCUCUCUGCUAUAAAGUGCCGUGGAGAUCAGGGGGUUGGGUACUGGAAGGUGAUGAGAGUACUCAAGUUGAUCGCCGGAGCAGCAUCAGCAUCAGCAUCAGCUUCACCAUGCGGGGAUCAGAUCAUCAUCAGGAUGUCGUCGCGGCACCGCGGGGCGGUGGCGGUGGAGGAGACGACGGGCAGGCGCACGACAUGGUGAUGCCGGGGUUCCGGUUCCACCCGACGGAGGAGGAGCUCAUCGAGUUCUACCUCCGGCGAAAGGUGGAGGGGAAGCGGUUCAACAUCGAGCUCAUCGCCUUCGUCGACCUCUACCGCUAUGACCCGUGGGAUCUUCCCGCUCUGGCCUCAAUUGGGGACAAGGAGUGGUUCUUCUAUGUGCCAAGGGACCGCAAGUACCGAAACGGCGAUCGGCCCAACCGAGUGACGCCAUCGGGGUACUGGAAGGCCACAGGGGCGGAUAGGAUGGUGAAGGUGGAGGGUGACCGUCCUAUCGGCCUCAAGAAGACGCUCGUCUUCUACGUCGGCAAGGCGCCCAAGGGGCUUCGCAGCAGCUGGAUCAUGAACGAGUAUCGUCUCCCUCAUGGCGACGCUGACCGCUACCAAAAGGAAAUUUCGCUGUGUCGAGUCUACAAACGCCCAGGAAUCGAAGACAACUUCCACCUCACCGGCACAACCACUAAAUCCUCCGGCUCAAAGGCGGCGGCGGCGAUGGGCAAGAAGCACGCCGCCGCGAACCGGACGUCAUCGACGGCGGCGGCUGCGGCGCCCCGCCUCGCCCCGAUGUUCGACGGCGGCGGCGGUGGCCAGGCACGGGCCACGGCAUCGGCGGCCAAGAAGCAGGCGGCGACGGCGGCGGCUGCCAAGCGCCGCCAUCCGCGUCGGCAUCGACGGCCAUGGAGCUUGCAGCGGCGGCGGCAUUCCACCUCGUCUCGUGUUUGCUCUCGCGUUUGCCAUCGGUGGUACGGGGCCCCGCUCACCCACGGGUCCCCUGCGGGGGCGGGGACGGGGGAUAUUUCCCACCCGACCACCUGUGCGGGGUCAGGGUCGGGGGGAGAAGUCGGGGAGCAGGGCGGGGGCGUUCCAGUCCAACCCACCCCGUUGCCAACCCUAUAGAAGGAAAGAGCUGAGGCAGACAGCAGCAGCAGAUCAUCAAAAUACUCAAACUAAGCUAAUCCAUCUCCCUCCAAGACCAAGAAUUCCAUUCCACUAGUUAAUCUCAAUCUCCUCUUUCGAGGAAUCUCAUCAACAAAAACAAAAAAAAAACAUUGCCGCAUCCGGAGUAGCUAGCGCGCUAAUUACAUUUACAUGGCGAUCCAAUCCAAUCCAGAUGCCGCAUCACCUUCCAUGGAUCUACAGACUACAGGUAGGAGGAGGAGGAGGAAGAAGAGGGUCGGCCAGCGGCGGCGAUGGACUUGGCGUCGGAGGGCAGCAGGACGAGGAGGAGGAGCACGGCGAAGAUGGCGACGGGCACGAGCAGCAGCAUCGGCGGCGGCGGCGGCAGCGGCGGCAGCAGCAGCGGCAGCACCAGCAGCGUCGCCGUCACCACCCCGAGCAGCACCGCCGCCUCCACCCCCAAGUACCCUCCUCCUCCUCCGCCUACUUCCACCGCCGCCGCCGUCUCCUCCACCACUCUCCGCUUCACUCCCACCUGUCCGUACAAUCUCCCUCCCGUCGCCGCCGCCGUGGACCUGUGCCCGGCCAUGGCGUCCUCCUCGUAACGCAGCAAGAUGACUCCUCGCAUCAAGAAGCAGAUGCAGAAGCGGAAGCAAUGGAGGAGAAGAAGACGAGGAGGAGGAGGAGGAGCUGAAGAAAUAGGCGGCGAAGAGAAGAAGCGUCCGUACGGGUGCCACUUGGCGGGAAGCACGCACGCGUGUGAAUGCCACGUGGGACGGCCACGUCGGACAGGGACAGGGAUGAUCCGACGGCUGGGAUUGAGCGGCGAGGGUGAAGCCGGCGAUGGGAUUGGAAACCGGGGAUACAAAACCGGUGGCGGGAUAGCGGAUUGGCCGCAGGAUUGGGAAAUAGAAAGGCGACGGGUGGAUGGUAUUUUGGGAGGUGCAUGCAUCUGUCCAUCAACAUCUUCAUCGGCUCAUCACUAUCGGCCUGCUUUAAUUCCUAACUUUUUCUUUAAAUUUUCAAUUUUUUCAUCACAUUAAAACUUUUCUAUACACAUAAACUGUCGACUUUUCCGUCACAUCGUUCCAAUUUCAACUAAACCUUUUAAUUUUAGCGUAAACUAAACACACCCAUCGUCUAGCUCCCUGUCACUCUGCUUCUGUUUCUGCUGCUGCUACCCCUGUCCUCUUCCUCUUCACUGCUCCUCCUUUUCUUCGCCUUUGGUUGCUUCCAGGCUCCAGCUCCAGCCAAUCCAGCGAGAUACCGACAAGCAGAUGGUUGGUAAACAUUUUCUGAGGAUUUAAAAAAGCUAAGUUUUUUUUUAGCUUUCGACUUCUAAUUUAUUUUUUUAGAUUCUAUAAUUACAGCUUAUUAGGAUCUUAACUAAAAGCUGAACUAUUUACGAAAGCUUCUAAUUCUAGAAGAAUUUACAGUAGCCAGCUCCUCUAGACAAACCUCACUAUAUAGGCCUGGUUUAGUUCCUAACCUUUUUUUUAAAACUUUCAACUUUUCUAUCACAUCAAAACUUUUCUACACACACAAACAUCUAAUUUUUCCGUCACAUUAUUUCAAUUUCAAUCAAACUUUUCUAUUUUUAAUGUGAACUAAACACACCCAUACUCCUAUUGUACGUACGGCUCUGCACUAUGCAUUGCAUGCAUGCCAUUAUCGAUCCUAUCCACUGCUCGCUUUCAUCCCACAAAUAUCCAGGACUUCUGGUGAUGAUAAUUACGAGUAUAGUAUUUGUAGCAGUAAUCGGCAUUGCUUCAGUGUGUGGCAAGUGGAUUAGCAACAGCACCAGCAGUACUGCAGUACAUGUCGAGAUGCAGGCCCGGUUUAGUUCCAACACAAAACUUUUACACCCUGCCAUAUUAAACAUUUGAACACCUAGAUAAAAUAUUAAAUAUAGGGUACAAAUUAAC